Molecule: ribosomal RNA, 468 nt
Filed under: uncultured bacterium
Lineage: Bacteria
Description: partial 16S ribosomal RNA
Rfam family: Bacterial small subunit ribosomal RNA
Source: RNAcentral
GACGAACGCUGGCGGCGUGCUUAACACAUGCAAGUCGAACGGAAAGGCCCUGCUUUUGUGGGGUGCUCGAGUGGCGAACGGGUGAGUAACACGUGAGUAACCUGCCCUUGACUUUGGGAUAACUUCAGGGAACUGGGGCUAAUACCGGAUAGGAGCUCCUGCUGCAUGAUGGGGGUUGGAAAGUUUCGGCGGUUGGGGAUGGACUCGCGGCUUAUCAGCUUGUUGGUGGGGUAGUGGCUUACCAAGGCUUUGACGGGUAGCCGGCCUGAGAGGGUGACCGGCCACAUUGGGACUGAGAUACGGCCCAGACUCCUACGGGAGGCAGCAGUGGGGAAUAUUGCACAAUGGGCGGAAGCCUGAUGCAGCAACGCCGCGUGCGGGAUGACGGCCUUCGGGUUGUAAACCGCUUUCGCCUGUGACGAAGCGUGAGUGACGGUAAUGGGUAAAGAAGCACCGGCUAACUACGUG